UACGGAGGGUGCAAGCGUUAUCCGGAUUCACUGGGCUUAAAGGGUGCGUAGGUGGGCAGGUAAGUCAGUGGUGAAAUCUCCGGGCUUAACCCGGAAACUGCCAUUGAUACUAUUUGUCUUGAAUACCGUGGAGGUCAGCGGAAUAUGUCAUGUAGCGGUGAAAUGCUUAGAUAUGACAUAGAACACCAAUUGCGAAGGCAGCUGGCUACACGAAUAUUGACACUGAUGCACGAAAGCGUGGGGAUCAAACAGG
Molecule: ribosomal RNA, 253 nt
Filed under: uncultured bacterium
Lineage: Bacteria
Description: partial 16S ribosomal RNA
Rfam family: Bacterial small subunit ribosomal RNA
Source: RNAcentral